AAUGGAAAAUAUACUUUAAAAACAAUAUUGCAGUGCAUUGGACUCCACACAGCAGUGGAUCCAGCACCUUUUCUACAGUUUCUGACCCCGGACUAUGACCUUUGACCUUCUGAGUGACGGUUUCACUGUAAUUUGUGGACACACGUCCCCAGCAGGUGCGAGACGCACUCAGUCGCCGGUGGGAGGAACGGCCAAACGCAGCUGUUCCCGUGACCUUUCCGUGUUAUUAACACCGCCCCAAUGCGCAGAUGGAUUGAGACAAACCCAGCACACCUGUGUUCCCGACCAGGGGAAGCAGGAGUGGAGCCGCUGGUUGCAUCGUGCUUAGAACUGCUGCCCUUGGAGCCAAUGGCUACAGGUUCGAGUCUCACCUCCAGUUACGAUACUCUUGAGCAAGCGGCUCAAGUGUCACCAGGGCUCCAGAACGAAGACGGUUGCAGGACCAGCCGGACAGGUUGAGAUAACGCCACUGGGCGACGCCCCCUGCGGUGACGGUGACGCUUGGCCAAACGUAACGGACAGCAGCAGCAGCCCGAUGACAGGCCUCUGGCAACUGGCUGCACAGUAAAUCAUCCCCAAUCCCAUCAUCCCUCACUUAAGGGCUGUGGAGGAUUCGCUCCGUCAGGGAAGUGAGACGGAAGCCG
Scleropages formosus (Asian bonytongue) is the source of this 644-nucleotide long non-coding RNA. RefSeq lists it as uncharacterized. Lineage: Eukaryota; Metazoa; Chordata; Actinopteri; Osteoglossiformes; Osteoglossidae. The record is from RefSeq and is a predicted model, not a curated record. The transcript has 4 exons.